This 351-nucleotide unclassified non-coding RNA is filed under the name soil metagenome. RNAcentral describes it as "partial contains 5.8S ribosomal RNA, internal transcribed spacer 2, and large subunit ribosomal RNA". The stretch from base 1 to 120 matches the Rfam family "5.8S ribosomal RNA", at positions 35 to 154 of the family's 154-position model. The record is from RNAcentral.
GAUGAAGAACGUAGCGAAAUGCGAUAAGUAAUGUGAAUUGCAGAAUUCAGUGAAUCAUCGAAUCUUUGAACGCACAUUGCGCCCGCCAGUAUUCUGGCGGGCAUGCCUGUCUGAGCGUCAUUUCAACCCUCAGCCCCCGCUCGCGGGGCGCUGGCGUUGGGGAUCGGCCGUCCUCGCGGCGGCCGGCCCCGAAACACAGUGGCGGUCUCUCGCGGACUCCCCUGCGUAGUAGCACUACCUCGCAGAAGGGACGAGCCGGCUGACCACGCCGUAAAACCCCCCACUUCUCCAGGUUGACCUCAGAUCAGGUAGGAAUACCCGCUGAACUUAAGCAUAUCAAUAAGCGGAGGA